GAUGAACGCUGGCGGCGUGCUUAACACAUGCAAGUCGAGCGAAGCCCUUUUGCGGAUUUCUUCGGAUUGAAGCAAUUGUGACUGAGCGACGGACGAGUCAGUAACGCGUGGGUAACCAGCCUCAUACAUGGGGAUAACAGUUGGAAACGGCUGCUCAUACCGCAUAAGCGCACAGUACCGCAUGGUCCCGGUUGAAAAACUCCGGUGGUAUGAGAUGGACCCGGGUCUGACUAGCUAGUUGGUGGGGUAACGGCCUAGCAGGGCGACGACAAGUAGACGAGCUGAGAGGGUGACCGGCCACAUUGGGACUGAGAAACGGCCCAAACUCCUACGGGAGGCAGCAGUGGGGAAUAUUGCAAAAUGGGGGAAACCCUGAUGCAGCGACGCCGCGUGAGCGAUGAAGUAUUUCGGUAUGUAAAGCUCUAUCAGCAGGGAAGAAAAUGACGGUACCUGACUAAGAAGCCCCGGCUAACUACGUGCCAGCAGCCGCGGUAA
RNAcentral lists this ribosomal RNA (495 nucleotides) under uncultured bacterium. RNAcentral describes it as "partial 16S ribosomal RNA". It matches the Rfam family "Bacterial small subunit ribosomal RNA", at positions 28 to 523 of the family's 1533-position model. The record is from RNAcentral.